This 76-nucleotide transfer RNA is filed under the name Bacteroidota bacterium. RNAcentral's name for it is "Bacteroidetes bacterium (bioreactor sludge metagenome) tRNA-Met". It matches the Rfam family "tRNA". From Rfam's summary of the family: Transfer RNA (tRNA) molecules are approximately 80 nucleotides in length. Their secondary structure includes four short double-helical elements and three loops (D, anti-codon, and T loops). Further hydrogen bonds mediate the characteristic L-shaped molecular structure. tRNAs have two regions of fundamental functional importance: the anti-codon, which is responsible for specific mRNA codon recognition, and the 3' end, to which the tRNAs corresponding amino acid is attached (by aminoacyl-tRNA synthetases). tRNAs cope with the degeneracy of the genetic code in two manners: having more than one tRNA (with a specific anti-codon) for a particular amino acid; and 'wobble' base-pairing, i.e. permitting non-standard base-pairing at the 3rd anti-codon position. The record is from RNAcentral. Lineage: Bacteria; Pseudomonadati; Bacteroidota.
CGCGGGGUGGAGCAGCUGGUAGCUCGUCGGGCUCAUAACCCGAAGGUCAGGGGUUCGAAUCCCUUCCCCGCUACAA